This 199-nucleotide unclassified non-coding RNA is filed under the name plant metagenome. RNAcentral's name for it is "partial contains small subunit ribosomal RNA and internal transcribed spacer 1". The stretch from base 1 to 46 matches the Rfam family "Eukaryotic small subunit ribosomal RNA", at positions 1786 to 1831 of the family's 1831-position model. The record is from RNAcentral.
AAGUCGUAACAAGGUCUCCGUAGGUGAACCUGCGGAGGGAUCAUUACUGAGUGCGGGGGUUAGUUGUUCCCCCGACCUCCAACCCUUUGUGAACAUAUCUUGUUGCUUCGGGGGCGACCCUGCCAUCCGUGACAUUCCCCCCCGGAGGUCAUCAAAACACUGCAUUCUUACGUCGGAGUAAAAAGUUAAUUUAAUAAAA